AGAACUAACAUUCUGCUUUAAUAAUCCAAACACACUAUAAUUCCAUCAAUUUGAGUCUCUUAAAAUGUUACACUGAAAUGAAUCUCUCUGAAGAUGGACUUAUUGAUUUCUAUAUUCUUCCUCUAGCAUCAUGAAAUUUGACCUCUUCAGCCGUGCAUGGUUAACACUGUAAGUAUACAUGUGUUUUUUUGUUUUUUCUCCAAUCAUGGCAAAUGUGUCGAAAUUAUAGGCUGUGUCCUAGAUCUAUUAUUUUAGUUCUAUUAUGGCAAAGAAGAGAGUUUUAGGGAAAAGCGUUUCAAAGUGUUUGAAAAGUGCUUGAAAAAAAUAUAGAAAGCAGAAACAAUAUUCAUUAAUCAAUCUUGCAUAUAACAAAGCAAGCUAGGGCAAUAAAAAGGAUUUAUUCAUUUAGUUCCUUUCUUAGAAAUAACAAAAGCAUACUAAACCCAUUGUUCUGGCCAAUUCCUUUUAAAGUAAUCCAUUUACUUCAGUUCUAAUGGUAAUUAUCAUGUUACAUUUAUCUGUACCCAUUUCCAUUUUAUUUUUAUGUGAUUUUUAAAUGUGCACAUAUCAAAAUAAUGUCAGUAUGAGAAGGAAGCAGAACUUAAGUGGUCUUUACACCCUUACUAUUAUGAAUAAAGAAAAUGAGAUUUACAGAGAAUAGUGAUAAUUCUAUUUGUCUCCAACAAAUUGCCAUCUAGUCAGUCUCACUGUAGACAGGACACUCUGCCUCCCUAAAUCUCAGUUCAAUUACCUUUAAAGGAGAUGGAUAGUAUCAUAUCUAAAAAGACCACAAUGACAUUACCAAAAUCAAUAAUAAGCAUAAUAUUUACUGAAAGACUCUUUAUGCCAACCACAGUUUUACGUUGUUUGAAUGUAUUAAUUAAUUUAAAACUCACAACAUCAUUAUAAGUUAUUAUUAUGGUUCAGCCAAUUAAGGUAAAAAGAAAAAGGAAAUUGCCUAUGGUUACAAAGCUAGUGAAUAGCAGAAUGACUUAGGGAGAAAGUAAGUUUCACUUGGUGGGCGUUAUAGCUCCUCUUUGGAGUAGGUUUGUCUCUUUCCUUAGCCUUCUAUUUCCAGAGUAGAAUAUAUUUACUGGAACCAAGUAAAUACUCUAUUUAGAAUAAAGGUUUUUUUAUUUACCACUUUUCCUUACUUGCCAACGCUAAUUUCUAACUACUCAAAGCUAUCCACUUUCCAUAAAAUAUUUCAUACUUUUAUUGCUCCUUAUUUCUGUUUUUGUCAGACCUGCAAGCUAAAAAUUGUUUUGACAUUUUUGAAUAGUUGAAAAACAUUAAAAGAGAAUAAUAUUGUGUAAAUUAUAAGAAAUUCACUUUCAGUGUCCAUGAAUAAAUUUUAAUUGGAAAAUGGCCAAACUCAUUUGUUUACACAUUGUCUAUGAUUGUUUUCACUCCACAAUGGUAGAGAAGUUGUGACAGAGACCAUCUGGCUCAUAAAGCCAAAAAUAUUUACUAGUUGGACUUUUACCGAAGUUUGCUGAUACCUGGUCUAGUGGUUCUUGUCUAUCUCUUUAAGGAAAAAAAAACUGUUCAAAUGGAUACAGUUAAAGUCAGAACUAUAACUAAAAUUCCUGAGUUUUAGGUUUAUACGUUGUUUCUAAUUUCCUUCACAUAAGUACAAAGAAAAAA
Long non-coding RNA from Homo sapiens (human), 1647 nucleotides. NCBI's taxonomy places the organism in Eukaryota, Metazoa, Chordata, Mammalia, Primates, Hominidae. The record is from Ensembl.